GAGUUCAGUAGUGUGAGCUUGUAGCCCAAACAUGGGCAACAAAGUGGUUGAAAGUCAGUCCAAUCCAAAAGUAGGGUCUUCAAAUGAUAAUCUCUGGCCUCCCUGUUCCAAGUAGGGAGUUCGACCUUGGGCUUUGGGAGAAAACCUGAAUUCUAUUGUCACUAGAAAUGGAGGGAACCAUGUGAGGCUGGUUUCACUGAGCAACAUCACCUCCCACUCUUUUCAGUGAAAGAAUACAUGUUGGUCCUUGGUAGCCCAAUAAUGUCCCAUGGGAAGUUCUCAGCCCGACAACCACUUUU
This 299-nucleotide signal recognition particle RNA is filed under the name Cucumis melo (muskmelon). RNAcentral's name for it is "Plant signal recognition particle RNA". It matches the Rfam family "Plant signal recognition particle RNA". The record is from Rfam by way of RNAcentral. RNAcentral also lists the same sequence under 1 other name. Lineage: Eukaryota; Viridiplantae; Streptophyta; Magnoliopsida; Cucurbitales; Cucurbitaceae.